Molecule: ribosomal RNA, 274 nt
Filed under: uncultured bacterium
Lineage: Bacteria
Description: partial 16S ribosomal RNA
Rfam family: Bacterial small subunit ribosomal RNA
Source: RNAcentral
UUGCCCUACGGGGCGCAGCAGUGAGGAAUAUUGGUCAAUGGUCGGGAGACUGAACCAGCCAAGCCGCGUGAGGGAUGAAGGUACAGAGUAUCGUAAACCUCUUUUGUCAGGGAACAAAGGCGGGGACGUGUCCCCGGAUGAGUGUACCUGAAGAAAAAGCAUCGGCUAACUCCGUGCCAGCAGCCGCGGUAAUACGGAGGAUGCGAGCGUUAUCCGGAUUUAUUGGGUUUAAAGGGUGCGCAGGCGGAAGAUCAAGUCAGCGGUAAAAUUGAGA